Molecule: ribosomal RNA, 429 nt
Filed under: Acidobacteriota bacterium
Lineage: Bacteria; Pseudomonadati; Acidobacteriota
Description: Acidobacteria bacterium partial 16S ribosomal RNA
Rfam family: Bacterial small subunit ribosomal RNA
Source: RNAcentral
UGGGGAAUUUUGGACAAUGGGGGAAACCCUGAUCCAGCCAUCCCGCGUGUGCGAUGAAGGCCUUCGGGUUGUAAAGCACUUUUGGCAGGAAAGAAACGUCAUGGGUUAAUACCCCGUGAAACUGACGGUACCUGCAGAAUAAGCACCGGCCAACUACGUGCCAGCAGCCGCGGUAAUACGUAGGGUGCAAGCGUUAAUCGGAAUUACUGGGCGUAAAGCGUGCGCAGGCGGUUCGGAAAGAAAGAUGUGAAAUCCCAGAGCUCAACUUUGGAACUGCAUUUUUAACUACCGGGCUAGAGUGUGUCAGAGGGAGGUGGAAUUCCGCGUGUAGCAGUGAAAUGCGUAGAUAUGCGGAGGAACACCGAUGGCGAAGGCAGCCUCCUGGGAUAACACUGACGCUCAUGCACGAAAGCGUGGGGAGCAAACAGG